Non-coding RNA from Chelonia mydas (Green sea turtle), 72 nucleotides. NCBI's taxonomy places the organism in Eukaryota, Metazoa, Chordata, Testudines, Cheloniidae. The record is from Rfam.
GGUCCCAUGGUGUAACGGUCAGCACUCCGGACUCUGAAUCCUGCAAUCUGAGGUCAAAUCUCAGUGGGACGC